This is a long non-coding RNA of Gopherus evgoodei (Goodes thornscrub tortoise), 87 nucleotides long. RefSeq lists it as uncharacterized. Lineage: Eukaryota; Metazoa; Chordata; Testudines; Testudinidae. The transcript is spliced from 3 exons. The record is from RefSeq and is a predicted model, not a curated record.
GAUGAGAGCCCUUAAAUCAGUGGUUCCCAGACUUUAACAACCUGUGAACUCCUUUCACUAAAAUGUCACGUCUCACAAAUCCCCUCC